Mastomys coucha (southern multimammate mouse) is the source of this 128-nucleotide small nucleolar RNA. RefSeq annotates it as small nucleolar RNA SNORA71. NCBI's taxonomy places the organism in Eukaryota, Metazoa, Chordata, Mammalia, Rodentia, Muridae. The transcript has a single exon. The record is from RefSeq and is a predicted model, not a curated record.
CCCUGCGUUCGUAAGUGAUCAGGGGAUACCCAUGCCCUGGUCAAUGGUAGUGCAGGCAGAGAAAAUGUGGAAAGCGCUGUCCAGUGUUUAGAAGGUCCAUGCCUUCCAGUGCUGGGAGGUUUCCCACA